UACGGGGGGGGCAAGCGUUGUUCGGAAUUACUGGGCGUAAAGGGCUCGUAGGCGGCCAACUAAGUCAGACGUGAAAUCCCUCGGCUUAACCGGGGAACUGCGUCUGAUACUGGAUGGCUUGAGUUUGGGAGAGGGAUGCGGAAUUCCAGGUGUAGCGGUGAAAUGCGUAGAUAUCUGGAGGAACACCGGUGGCGAAGGCGGCAUCCUGGACCAACACUGACGCUGAGGCGCGAAAGCCAGGGGAGCAAACGGG
Molecule: ribosomal RNA, 253 nt
Filed under: uncultured bacterium
Lineage: Bacteria
Description: partial 16S ribosomal RNA
Rfam family: Bacterial small subunit ribosomal RNA
Source: RNAcentral